ACGCCGUAAAUUGGUCCGGUUUACGACAUGCUGCUGGAGCCUGUCACCCUUUUGUGGACGCCCUCUGCCAGUCCUGGCGCGCUUCUAAUCCGAUAGCCGCAGGUUCGAAUCCUGCCGGGCGUGCCA
Molecule: transfer RNA, 126 nt
Filed under: Nocardiopsis terrae
Lineage: Bacteria; Bacillati; Actinomycetota; Actinomycetes; Streptosporangiales; Nocardiopsidaceae
Description: tRNA-Ser
Source: RNAcentral